Molecule: long non-coding RNA, 1016 nt
Organism: Pleuronectes platessa (European plaice)
Lineage: Eukaryota; Metazoa; Chordata; Actinopteri; Pleuronectiformes; Pleuronectidae
Exons: 2
Source: RefSeq, a predicted model, not a curated record
AAUCAUUCAACAAAUUAUUUCUGAUUGAAGAGAAUGACCACAUUUUGAUAUUCGGGACACAUCUGACAUUUGAAUAUACAUCCCUCUUACCUUUCUGACUGUCUCUUAAUAAUACUGCUUAGUGUUAGAGUUAGUUUGAAUGAGACAAAUAUAGUGGAGUAAUGAAAUCCUGAAAAUUGAAGAGAUACAAAUUUGGAAUUUGGAGAAUCUGGAGUAUUUCGACUAUAACAAGUUUCUCACCUCAGACUGUCCCAGGCGGUCCAGGUUGGAGAUGUCAAAAGUACCACCGACAGCAGCCGUGUCGACGCCACCUGUCCCUCGCUUCUGCAGACGCAGGUUGUCCAGGAUCUUACUGAAGCGGAUAUCCUGGAAGGUGGAGGACAAAAGCUACUCAGCACAGUUUCAAUGCAAUUAGAUGAACAUUUGAAUCCAUCUGCAUCUGUAUGUUUUUCUCGCAGGUAUUUGGAAUUACCAAGACUUUAACCACAAUCCAUCUGAGGUUGGUUUAGAAAGCAGCAGUUUAAUUAAAGUAAAACAAAUGUCCCUUUUCCCGGUGAUGGUUUGUACUUCCUCAUGGGGUCCAGAGGUGUUCCGAGGCCAGAUGACAUUAAUACUGUCUCUCCACAGUUUUCUGCACUUAGCAGUGUGAUGCCCUGAUAAAUCCCCCCCUCUCUAUCCAUCCAUCCAUCACUAACAAUCUUCAUAGCAACAUUUAUAGAAAAUAAAUUAAGAGCUUAUUUCCAAAUGAGCAGAAUCCAGAUAUUUAAACUCUUGGUCAACAACAUUUCCCACUUCAUUUAAUAAAAAUCUAUUUGUUGGUUUUCAAUAGCCUUUAAUAGUACAAUUGUAGUUCUUCUCAUCCUUCACUUUUGUGAAUAAAAGAUGUAAUAAAACAGAUAAAGAAGACUAGAUAUGUUGAUGCUUUUUGAGGCCUUAUCUUUGAUAAUCUAAUGCAUUCAUUUGGGACUAUCAUUAUGUAACACAAAUAGAAUAAAGAGUGAAAAGAUCGCACAUUA